UUUAAUUGCAUGUUUUUGUUUUUAGGGUAAAUUUUCAAAAAUUUACAAAAAUAUUUUUAUUUUUCUUCUUUGAUUUUCUUGUGAUUGCAUGGUGCUUGGACAAUAAUUGGGAAAUAGGCCACUAGUUAUAAAUAUUGAAUAAGUAUUUUUGGAUUGCUAAGCAUGCAAAUUUUGGUUGAUAUUAGAUUAUUCGAUAUUAUUAGAAGUAGG
This 210-nucleotide long non-coding RNA is filed under the name Gossypium barbadense (sea-island cotton). RNAcentral describes it as "long non-coding RNA (GBAR_LNC002642)". Lineage: Eukaryota; Viridiplantae; Streptophyta; Magnoliopsida; Malvales; Malvaceae. The record is from RNAcentral.